UAGUGUUAUAGCUCUUUUAGAAUUUGUCUAGAAGGUUUUCUGGUCCUCACUGGAAGACCCCC
Molecule: small nuclear RNA, 62 nt
Filed under: Prolemur simus (greater bamboo lemur)
Lineage: Eukaryota; Metazoa; Chordata; Mammalia; Primates; Lemuridae
Description: U7 small nuclear RNA (ENSPSMG00000001603.1)
Rfam family: U7 small nuclear RNA
About the family: Animal histone pre-mRNAs are spliced by a different mechanism than nuclear pre-mRNAs and self-splicing introns.
Source: Rfam by way of RNAcentral